RNAcentral lists this long non-coding RNA (204 nucleotides) under Manihot esculenta (cassava). RNAcentral describes it as "long non-coding RNA (MESC_LNC011562)". The record is from RNAcentral. Lineage: Eukaryota; Viridiplantae; Streptophyta; Magnoliopsida; Malpighiales; Euphorbiaceae.
UCCACCUUCCCUCCUUGAACUAGUCUUGAUUCUUUUCCAGCCUCUUUACCCUCAAACUCACUUUUUUCUCUCAUCUUUUCCGCAGAAUUCAAGCUCUCACUCCCCUUUGUGGCCAAGGCCGAAGCCUCCCUCUCCCUCUCCAGCAUCUUUAUUUGAUCAACAUAUACCUCUUGAGGUGAUAAAGGAGCGAGUAUAACCUUCUGU